AUAAGAUAUUGAAGAGAACGAGAGGGAAAAUAGCGGACCGUAUGCUGUACAUUUGUUCAUAAAUCUGAUCCCCUUACAGAUCAUGUUGGUCUACCAGUGAGAGUUCCAUCCAUGGCUGGAAAGAUGAGGACAGUUGUCCUUAUCCUGAGCUUCCUCCCAAGUGUAUGCCAGGGAGUGGUCGUCACACAGACUCCGAAUUUUCUGUUAGUGAUGGAGGGAUCACCAGCAAAUAUGACUUGUAGCCAAGAUGCCAACAAUGUAAACAUGUUCUGGUACCAACAGAAACCAGGAGAAGGACUAAAGCUUAUGACCUGGUCAACGGAAGCUGAUAAAAAGCAGACAAUGGAACCAGACUUUCAAUCAGGCUGGGAGCUAGAGAGAAAUGACAUUGAGAAUUCAGUUCUACACCUUGAAUCUGCCGGAAUACAGAACUCGGCUGUGUAUUUCUGUGCAUCGAGUGCCACAGAAUGA
This is a non-coding RNA of Pelobates fuscus (common spadefoot toad), 471 nucleotides long. The record is from the annotation of a RefSeq genome assembly. NCBI's taxonomy places the organism in Eukaryota, Metazoa, Chordata, Amphibia, Anura, Pelobatidae.